Molecule: RNA transcript, 3574 nt
Organism: Symphalangus syndactylus (siamang)
Lineage: Eukaryota; Metazoa; Chordata; Mammalia; Primates; Hylobatidae
Source: RefSeq, a predicted model, not a curated record
ACAGAAAGCACAGCGAUGUUACCCAGCCGUGGCUCUCCCGCCCCAGUCAACUUUCAAGCCCUCUCCAGGAUCUGGCCCUGCCACCACGGGGACUGCUCCUCCAGCCCUCUCAACUCCUGCCGGCCUCCUCCUCCAUGCUCCUCCUGCAGGUGCACAUAGACCCCAAGGUCCUUACACCAGCUGCUCUCUCUGCCUGCUCUUCCCCAAGGUCCUCACAAACUCACUCCACCCUGUCACUCUCAACGCAAGGCCACCACCACAGACGAGUCUUUGUUUUCUUUUCAAACAGUCUUAUUAAGAUAUAAUUCACACACCAUACAACUCGCCCAUUUAAAAUGUAUAGUUCAAGGAUUUUAUUAAUAGUAUAUUCCCAGAGGGGUGCAACUGUCACCACUAUCUAUGUUUAGAAUAUUUUCAUCACUCAAAAAGAACCCCUCCCCAGCCCUGGAUCACCGCAAACCUACCUCCUGUCUCUAUAGAGUUGCCUGUUCUGGACAUUUCCUAGAAACAGGACCAUAAGCUCUGUGGUCUUUCGUGUCUGGCUUCUUUCACUUAGCAUGAUGUCCUCAAGGUUCACCUGUGCUGUAACACGUGCCAGAACUUCAUUCCUUUUUGUGGCUGAAUAAUAUUCCACACUAUGGACAGACCACAUUGUGUUUAUCUAUUCACCCACUGACGGCCACUGGGAGAGGCCCUUCUUGACCUCCCCAGACCAUGUGGCUCCCUCUCCCCUGAUCACUCCGUCAUCCCUCCCUGUUUUAUUUUCUUGGCACUGAUCCUUGCCUGAAGGCAUCUUCAUUUGUUUAUUUUCUCUUUAUCAUUUCUCUCUCACCUGAACAUCUAUCUGCUCCAGGAGGCCCACCUCACUCACUGCUGUAUCCCCAGGGUCUAGCCCGGGCCAGCAAACAAUAGGUGCUCAGCAAACUGCUUGCUGAUCAACAGAAGAAAGCCUCUUCCCGUGUGUCAGAGUGGCUCAUGCCCAUGCUGCCUUGCUGCUGGGCUCUGAGCUCUCGGCGACAAGUGCUGCCCUGCGGUGCUUGCCAAGAAGAGCCUCACCCACAACUCCGAUGCAAAAGUGAUCUUCCUGCCUGACCUGAGAGGGGCUGUGGAUUUAUCAGGGCACUGCCCUGUACCCAGAGCAAGGCCUUUGUCUGCCAGGGGCCCAGAGAACUACUGUAUCCCCACAGGCAUCUCACAGGCGGGGAAACAGAGGCCCAGGGAGGCUGCCUGUUAUACAAACAGCCAAUGCCUCAGCAGCACCUACUGCAGCCGGAGCAGGCUUCCGGGCCUCGUCUCAUGGAAGCUUCAGAACAUCUCUAAAAGUCACGUCCAAGGUAGGAAGGGGCUAAGCCCAGUUUUGAACUCAGGUCGGCCUGACUUCUGAGCCUGUGUGCUUCCCACUUCAUCACGUUAUCCUCCUAAGCCCCCACACUGAGACUCAGAGGACAAGAAGGGGGUGCCACAACCAUGCACCCUGCUGGAUGCCAAGCCAACAGAACCCAGUGAUGACCUGCCAAGAAGCCCGCCCAGCUGGCAUGGCUCCCCCCACUCUACAGGCCAGGAAACAAGCCCAGAGAGGUUUAGCAACUUUCCCGAGGGCUGCACAUCUCACAACCUACCGUUGUGGGCUCUAAACCCUGGGGUGCCCAGCUCCCAAGCUGUUCUGUCCAGGAUACAGCCUGCAGCCAGGAUCGUCCCUCUCAGAGUCCUCGGGCCAAAGUUCCAGAGACCCUUCUCCUGGCUCCUUGACUGCGGUCGCCAAACUCCUGGGCAGAGGGCCAGGGCUGGCAGGUCCACAGCUGCUCCACACACACCUCUUGCUUUUCCAGAUGUGAAUGGGACCCCGCCAGGGGCAACAGGCUCACUCGGAGGGGAAUCUGAAGACGCAAGUGGAAAACUAUGCGCUGUCCGAUCGCAACCCUCCAAUCUGUCCCUGUGGCUGCCGGCAGCUCCGCCUUGGGCCGCAGACCUGCUGACUCAGGGCUUCCCUGGCAGCCGAGGGGGCUGGGAUCUGCAGAGGGCCUGCUCCUGGCUGGCUAGCUGGUUGGGGCGUGGCCUUAGUCCUUUCGGGGGGCUCUCAACAGAAUGGGGCAGGGGUCAGGAGGGCAGAGUGCUUCUCGUGGAGCCCAAGGCCCAUCCUCCCCAGUUAACCACAGGGGCGCCUGGCAGUUACGGGUGCUAAGAGUGGGUUUGGGACAAACUCAGUGCCAAUUAUGGUGCCCACACCCACCCCACCACUCUCCUCUCAUUGGUGGUGAGGAGGCCACCCGCCAGUGAUCGUGACACCCCUGUGAAGCUACCUGCCCAUCACCACUUGACAGCCACAAACCCUCCCGUAAGGCCCCGCCCCACAGCCCUGUCAGGUGGCUGUGCCAUUAGAUGAGGAGACUGAGGCACAGACAGGCCAGUCUGCCAGGCUCUGUGAGGCGGUGCUGCUUCUCCUACAGACCAUGUGGGCAAACGGCAGCCAAGAGGGAGCGAGCGAAUCACCCUUGGACAGGGCACGGUGGGCCUCCCAGUGCUGAGCCCUCUGCAUUCUGUCAACAAGCCCUGAGGUUUCCAAAGUGCCAAUCCCUGGAAACCUUGAGACAGAACGGGACUCAGGAAAAUCCAGCUGUGGUCACAAGGAAAAGCACAUGGAGAGCUCACCAAAGUCCAGGACUCACCCGCUGCCUGGCCCAGCUCCCAAGUCACCCACCCAGGAGGUCUAUCCUGGGGUCUGGGGCAGGGGCAGGGGCAGGGGCAGGGGCAGGCAGCCGCUGACUCACUCCAGGGCUGAGCUCUGCCUCUCUCCUUUCCCACAGCCAGCCAGCAUCCUCAUCCCAAGAGAACACUUUAGCUCUCACUGUCUGCCCUGCUCCCUCAAACCUGCCCAGGCCCAAGGCCCGCCAUUGAGGCUGAGGCCCAGGGCCCCAGACACUCUCACCCAGCAGCAGAGACAACUAUGGCCACUGUAAUUAUGGUUUCUUAUUACAGUGAGAGUAAACUGCGUGGCUGGGUUUCCCUUUUCCCUUUGGCUGCCAGGAAACUUGGCAAUUUUUACCCCAACAGAAGAACCUCAGGACCCUGUAUAUCUCUGUUCUGUUCUGUUUUUCUACCGUAGCUCAUGACGUCCUAUUCUAAAUUGUGCUUUUUCCACUUCUGAUUCUUUUUUUUAGAGAUGAGGUCUUACUGUGUUGCUCAGACUGGAGUGCAGUGGCUAUUCACAAGCAUGAUCAUUGAACACUACCCUUGAACUGGGCUCAAGCAUUCCUCCUGCCUCAACCUCCUGAGUAGCUGGGACUAGAGACAUGCACCACCAUGCCUGGCUUCUGAUGUUUUUUAUUAACUAUUUUAUUGCACGUAUUUUCUGUAAGCGGUCACAAGUAUUUUGGGAAGGAAGGAAGAAAGGAAAGAAACAAGGAAAGGAGGAGAAAUAGAAGGAAGGCAAAAAGGAAGGAAGGAAUGUUUAUAAAGUUUAUACACCAGAGAGUGAGGGCAGAAAGAAAAAGGGACAAUCUUUCAAUCCCUUACCUGUUGCAAAUCCACCCCUUUAAAUAAAAAAAUCUGCCCUUAGGCGGUAUCCAAGUACAAA